RNAcentral lists this ribosomal RNA (392 nucleotides) under uncultured bacterium. Its description in RNAcentral is "partial 16S ribosomal RNA". It matches the Rfam family "Bacterial small subunit ribosomal RNA", at positions 523 to 918 of the family's 1533-position model. The record is from RNAcentral.
AUACGGAGGAUGCGAGCGUUAUCCGGAUUUAUUGGGUUUAAAGGGAGCGUAGGCGGGAGCUUAAGUCAGCGGUUAAAUGGUGCGGCUCAACCGUGCCCUGCCGUUGAAACUGGGUUUCUUGAGAGUGCAAGAGGCGGAUGGAAUUCAUGGUGUAGCGGUGAAAUGCUUAGAUAUCAUGAAGAACUCCGAUUGCGAAGGCAGUCCGCUGGGGCACGUCUGACGCUGAUGCUCGAAGGUGCGGGAAUCAAACAGGAUUAGAUACCCUGGUAGUCCGCACGGUAAACGAUGAUUACCCGCUGUCAGCGGCAGACAGUCGGCGGCCAAGCGAAAGCGAUAAGUAAUCCACCUGGGGAGUACGCCGGCAACGGUGAAACUCAAAUGAAUUGACGGGG